Molecule: ribosomal RNA, 929 nt
Filed under: Acinetobacter baumannii 1288284
Lineage: Bacteria; Pseudomonadati; Pseudomonadota; Gammaproteobacteria; Moraxellales; Moraxellaceae
Description: bacterial SSU rRNA
Rfam family: Bacterial small subunit ribosomal RNA
Source: RNAcentral
AGAGUUUGAUCAUGGCUCAGAUUGAACGCUGGCGGCAGGCUUAACACAUGCAAGUCGAGCGGGGGAAGGUAGCUUGCUACUGGACCUAGCGGCGGACGGGUGAGUAAUGCUUAGGAAUCUGCCUAUUAGUGGGGGACAACAUCUCGAAAGGGAUGCUAAUACCGCAUACGUCCUACGGGAGAAAGCAGGGGAUCUUCGGACCUUGCGCUAAUAGAUGAGCCUAAGUCGGAUUAGCUAGUUGGUGGGGUAAAGGCCUACCAAGGCGACGAUCUGUAGCGGGUCUGAGAGGAUGAUCCGCCACACUGGGACUGAGACACGGCCCAGACUCCUACGGGAGGCAGCAGUGGGGAAUAUUGGACAAUGGGGGGAACCCUGAUCCAGCCAUGCCGCGUGUGUGAAGAAGGCCUUAUGGUUGUAAAGCACUUUAAGCGAGGAGGAGGCUACUUUAGUUAAUACCUAGAGAUAGUGGACGUUACUCGCAGAAUAAGCACCGGCUAACUCUGUGCCAGCAGCCGCGGUAAUACAGAGGGUGCGAGCGUUAAUCGGAUUUACUGGGCGUAAAGCGUGCGUAGGCGGCUUAUUAAGUCGGAUGUGAAAUCCCCGAGCUUAACUUGGGAAUUGCAUUCGAUACUGGUGAGCUAGAGUAUGGGAGAGGAUGGUAGAAUUCCAGGUGUAGCGGUGAAAUGCGUAGAGAUCUGGAGGAAUACCGAUGGCGAAGGCAGCCAUCUGGCCUAAUACUGACGCUGAGGUACGAAAGCAUGGGGAGCAAACAGGAUUAGAUACCCUGGUAGUCCAUGCCGUAAACGAUGUCUACUAGCCGUUGGGGCCUUUGAGGCUUUAGUGGCGCAGCUAACGCGAUAAGUAGACCGCCUGGGGAGUACGGUCGCAAGACUAAAACUCAAAUGAAUUGACGGGGGCCCGCACAAGCG